RNAcentral lists this long non-coding RNA (647 nucleotides) under Cricetulus griseus (Chinese hamster). RNAcentral's name for it is "lncRNA (ENSCGRG00000025160.1)". The record is from RNAcentral. Lineage: Eukaryota; Metazoa; Chordata; Mammalia; Rodentia; Cricetidae.
AUGAUUGGUUGGUUGCUGUUCCCGCCCCCGACCAGUCGCCAUUUUAUUGAGGAGAGCCGACUGCUAGAAGGCGGAGGGAGCAGCGGUUUCGGGACUGGCUUUGUGGAGGUGACCGCGGCAGAGACAGAGGGUCCCCCUUGCCCACCAUGCGGCCUGGGACCUCGGGCAUCGGAGCGGGGAGACGAACGAAGGGAAACGAGCGGGACAACCAUGAGUGCUCUGUGCGGUGACAAGGAGAAUCUGGCACUGGGCCUCCGGGAGCCUGGAAGCAGGAGGUUCCUCCCUUUCCUCCGAAUGAAUGGUCCUUUGAGUUUCCUGGUCUAUGACACUACCCCUCCACCCCCACCCCCCCCCAGCCCCGGAACCAUGAAAGGAAUCUAGGAAAUUUGAAUGCGUCAAGGUACUGAGCGAUUUUUAGAGCAUGACAGACCUGUGAGUGAGGAAAGUAGUCAUUCUUUCUUUGAUCAUUUGGCUCUCAUAUGUGUACAGGAGAAAUGUGCUCGCCGUCUCUCGUGGCAGAAUGGAGUAGUGUGUACUUGGCCAUAGUCCAUGAUAUUAAACUGUUGUAGGAACUGUUGACUUUCAAAGAUGGGACUUCUGGAGUCAGUCACCCGCCCCUCUGAGUUACUAGAAUCUAGCUGAAUGGC